Molecule: small RNA, 6457 nt
Filed under: Pongo abelii (Sumatran orangutan)
Lineage: Eukaryota; Metazoa; Chordata; Mammalia; Primates; Hominidae
Description: retained intron
Source: RNAcentral
CUGGGAAGGAAGGAGACGCCUAAACCGCGGCACUGCCCGGUUUGAGCGUAGCCAAACCUGCCCACCGGCUUCGUAGCCCCGAUUCUCUGUGUUUUGCUCCCGUCUCCGACGAGAGAGGCGGCGACGGUGGCGUCUGCGACGGGAGACAGCGCGUCGGAGCGAGAGAGCGCUGCGCCUGCCGCCGCCCCAACAGCGGAGGCGCCGCCGCCAUCGGUCGUCACCAGACCGGAGCCGCAGGCCCUCCCGAGCCCGGCCAUCCGUGCCCCGCUCCCAGAUCUCUAUCCUUUUGGGACCAUGCGCGGAGGAGGCUUUGGAGACCGGGACCGGGAUCGUGACCGUGGAGGAUUUGGAGCAAGAGGUGGUGGUGGCCUUCCCCCGAAGAAAUUUGGUAAUCCUGGGGAGCGUUUGCGUAAAAAAAAGUGGGAUUUGAGUGAGCUCCCCAAGUUUGAGAAAAAUUUUUAUGUGGAACAUCCGGAAGUAGCAAGGCUGACACCAUAUGAGGUUGAUGAGCUACGCCGAAAGAAAGAGAUUACAGUGAGGGGGGGAGAUGUUUGUCCUAAACCCGUGUUUGCCUUCCAUCAUGCUAACUUCCCACAAUAUGUAAUGGAUGUGUUGAUGGAUCAGCACUUUACAGAACCAACUCCAAUUCAGUGCCAGGGAUUUCCAUUGGCUCUUAGUGGCCGGGAUAUGGUGGGCAUUGCUCAGACUGGCUCUGGCAAGACGUUGGCGUAUCUCCUGCCUGCAAUUGUUCAUAUUAACCACCAGCCAUACUUGGAAAGGGGAGAUGGCCCAAUCUGUCUAGUUCUGGCACCUACCAGAGAGCUUGCCCAGCAAGUACAGCAGGUGGCCGAUGACUAUGGCAAAUGUUCUAGAUUGAAGAGUACUUGUAUUUAUGGAGGUGCUCCUAAAGGUCCCCAGAUUCGAGACUUGGAAAGAGGUGUUGAGAUCUGCAUAGCCACUCCUGGACGUCUGAUAGAUUUCCUGGAGUCAGGAAAGACAAAUCUUCGCCGAUGUACUUACCUUGUAUUGGACGAAGCUGACAGAAUGCUUGAUAUGGGGUUUGAACCCCAGAUCCGUAAAAUUGUUGACCAAAUCAGGCCUGAUAGGCAGACAUUGAUGUGGAGUGCAACCUGGCCAAAAGAAGUAAGACAGCUUGCAGAGGAUUUCCUUCGUGAUUACACCCAGAUCAACGUAGGCAAUCUGGAGUUGAGUGCCAACCACAACAUCCUCCAGAUAGUGGAUGUCUGCAUGGAAAGUGAAAAAGACCACAAGUUGAUCCAACUAAUGGAAGAAAUAAUGGCUGAAAAGGAAAACAAAACAAUAAUAUUUGUGGAGACAAAGAGACGCUGUGAUGAUCUUACUCGAAGGAUGCGCAGAGACGGUUGGCCAGCUAUGUGUAUCCAUGGAGACAAGAGUCAACCAGAAAGAGAUUGGGUACUUAAUGAGUUCCGUUCUGGAAAGGCACCCAUCCUUAUUGCUACAGAUGUAGCCUCCCGUGGGCUAGGUUUGUAUAGAUAGGUGUCUCUGUCAAUGGUAUAUGUAUCUUUUGGUUUAAAGAUUUGUCAUUUCAAAUUCAAACUUCAAGUUUAGAAAGUUGUAUAUACAUGUGGUUAGAUAAAUAUUUGAAAGAAAAGAAUACAAAGCGUGAUUCUCCCCGUUCCCUGCCUGCCCCCCCACAAUUUUUUUUAAACUUUGGUUUCCCCCACCCCCCUUUUAUUUUCAAAGUCUCUUCCUGCUCCUAACAAACAGGCUUUGGUCUGCAGCAAGGCCUAGGCAUGACUAUGCAAAGAGAGGGAGAGGAGACAGACAGUUGAAUGGCUCAACUUCUCUCUGGUGGUGGUUUCUGGCUGGAUAGAAUAAGCCUGACGAAACCUAGCUAUUGUAAGCUAGUUUCUUCAGUUAUUCUUUUCCCUAUCCCUGUCUAAGCUAGAUAUAUACAGAGAGGUCCAGUUUUAUGAAUGCUUAUUAGAUGGAAUUUUAUAAGUCUAAUGCAGUAUCAGAAUAGCAAAUAUGUGUAUUGCCCACUUUAAUUUACUGAGGUCAAAUUAUCAUGGGCACUUGGCUAUCCCCUCCUCCUACCCAUGCACUUAUCUGUAGGUGUGUUAUCAACUGAUGAUUUUCUGGAGUUUUUGACCCAUUACCAUUUAAGAUAUACAGAGAAUUUUAUGGUAGUUUAGCCCACUAUUCUGAGCUAAACAGGUCUAACUCAGAACUUCUAUAUUUUAAAAAAUGAUUAUUUGUAUUACAAGGAAAUCCUUAAAUUAUUGACAGGUAUUUAGUUUGCCCAGUAAGGUGAGAAGUACCAUAUUAUUCCCUUAUACUAUUGAAUAUAAAGAGAACAGGUAUUCAAACUGGAAUACAAAAGUAAUGAAGCCUUUUUAUGCAUUGCACUCAUCAUUCCCUCCUUCAGAGGUGGUGACCUGCAGCCAUGAUGGAAAGUUCUCUCUGCCCCUCUGCCCUCUGAGGUCAUGUCUGGAUCUGUGCCAUUAGAACUUGGGCCUGUUGGGAGAGGAGGCGGAGGCCUGAAAGCAGUUUACAUAAAGCUUUCAGUAAUGGUUGGUUUUUAAACAGGCUUGCUAUGUGCUGGUAGCUUCUUUGUGCAUCUUGCCUAGACAAUUAAAAAUAUUCGCUCCAUGUCCCCUUGCAUUUCUAAACCAAAUUAAUUGGCUACCAUUAGAAUAACUUAGACUCUUCAUCCCACCCCCACUCAUCCAAGUGAGGGGAGAGGGAAGGUACCCGAGUCUGUUUCUUGUUACUCAACAUCAGUGCUUGUUUUGGGCCCCUUUGUUUGCUGCCUUGUAAAAAAUCAAAAGAGGGAGAAAACCCACCAAAAUGGCAGAAUUCUGACCAAUGUCCUACAAGAUCCUGGAAAGUGAAGGCUUCUACCUCAUAGACAGGGGUGCAAUUUUCAGCUGAGUCACCAGGCCUUUUUUCACUUCCUGUCAAGCGAUGGUCUCUUAAAUGUUCCCUUCAGGUAAGUUCUUUGAUUCCCAUAAUUUUAUAAUAGUCAUCCUUAGGCUACCACUUCCCUUUCCACUGGGAUAUUUUUUAUUUUUCCUUUUUUUUGUUUAAACUACACACUGUUAAACUAAAAGUAUUGAAUUUAUUUUGUUUUGUUUUUUAACAGAAGCUUUGAUAUCAGCUGCAGAUCACUCAAUACAUGGCCGAGACAAAUCUACAUUGGCCGGAAGCAGCUCUAGAUGAGCCUCUUGGCUAGACUUAGUCCCUCCUAAUUAGUGAUUGGAGAUUCAGGCCAUGUCAUAGGGCCUUUCAGACAAAAGGUUCUUAUCCCAGUCAGCUGGCCAAAACAUUAACUUUCGAUUUCUUACCCUGCUACAGCAUCUUCUAGAAAGGCAGCAAGAUAAUAUUGUGGCAGUGCACAGAUAACAUCAGGGUAGACUUGACUGGAGAAAACCAAAUUCUGCGCUUGCUCCUAUGUGCCCCCAUCCAGCUGUGUGUGCACACACAGGACACCUUUCUAGUAUGAAGAACUUGCAUCAUGUCUGCCCUCUAUUGAACACCCCCAGAAAUACUUCCAAGUAUUAGCAUGUGAACUGUUGACUCCAGCCCCUGGUGCUUUCUGCUAGGAAAGCACGCUUUACGCAUCCAGUGUAGUAAUUGAACUUGUUCUACUGCCAUGGUCAUAUGCAGUGGGAUUGCAUAAGGAACAUUAUCCUAGCUCUGAAGAUACCAUGGAGUAGAAUUCCCCACCCCCUGUCUUACAUCCACCCUGGCCCUGUAAAUUCUUUUUUCCUUUGUUGCGUCAACGACCCUAGCCGGAGACUCAAGCUGCCCCCUGUGAUAAGUGCCUUCUCGUCUUUCUGGUGUGAUUCAGGACUUUAGGGGUCAGUAAAGACCGAGGAGCCUUUAUUGUAAUAAGAAACAGACAUAAUGCCCCUUCUUCACAACCCUGUGACAACAGCUAAUUUUUUUUUUUUUUAAUCUCCCCUUUCUCCCUUGAAAUUAAUCCAGUCUGGGCAAUAGAUGCAGUCUGACCCUUUGGAUGUAACUUAUAUUUUUUUUAUUAAUUAUUUUUUUCUACAAUCGCCCCAAUUAUCCUUGGGGGAGGCGUUGGAGGACCUGAAAUUUUUACCCGAACCCAGGUUCUCCGGCGCUUGGCAACCAAAUGGGGCUACAGAGAAGCAUCUAAGCCAGUUCACAGAGCGAGCGUGUGUGGGGACUUCUCACUGCCACGGACCCUUGAUGCAUGCUCCCCGCGCUCCAGUGGUCCCGUGUCAGAAGGCGGAGUUUUCGAAAGGAGGCCGCCAAAAAUAAAAGGCAAAGAGACGGGAUCGGCUGCAGCGGUUUCCCAAAGGAGGAGGGAGUGUGCAUCGGUCUGGUAACAAACAGAGAAUGUUUUUUAAUUAUUUAUAUCACAAAAAUCUGUGUUUUAUCUAGGAUAUUUUCUGAAUAUUCUUUGUAAAAUGCAGAUUUUUUUUCCACAAAACAGUAGGAUUCUUUGUUAUAUUCUUAAAAUUGUUUGUUUAAGUAGGUAAAAAUAUACAUUCAGCUGAAAGCAUUACACUAACAUUUACAUUUUAAGCCUUAGGAGGUUAUUCAGCCCAAUUCCCAGCAGUAGAGAGAAUACUAAACUUGUGUCUCAAGGUUUCAUGGUUUUCCCACGUUCUUUGGCUAUUAAUUUAAUUUCCCAGGUCACGUAGACAAUCAUUGAUAAUUGAAACAAGUCCUGAGUUGAAAUAACCUUGAGUUGAGCAAAAAUAUCCUCAUUUUGGCAGAAGCUGGGCUUGGUAGUACAGUAAAAUUUUAGUGUAAUGUGCUCUUGUAAUUGAAAGGGGAUAGAUAAUCUGGAUGUUUCUGCAAAGGAAAAUAGGUGUGUACUUAACAGCUUUGGCUCUACCCAGUUUCUUAAAAAGAUAAGAGCAAAAAAAGUUAAAUGUUUUGAUUAAGUUUCCUUUAAAUUGUAGUAAUAAAAUAUAUGAAGCUCCUUUUUUUACUUUGCUCUGUGACUGGUUUAAAGGUAAGUUUGUUAUGUUGUUGGUAGAUUUUGCCAGGCUUCUCCCAACAGAGUAGAAGUGAUUUGGCCUCGUAACUUAACACUGGUUUACCACUUUGUUCUAUGUUCCAGUUUUGUAAAGGAUAGUACUGGAAUUUGCGUCUGAAGACCAAUCUUGGUGUGACUCCUGUCAGUAUAUUGGUAAAAUGUAGCAGAGGCAGGAGUUUGGAUGGUUGGAUGGGAUUCCCUUAGGAUUCUACAGCCAAUAAAGAUCCUACUUCCCAUGCAUGUUCCAGGAAUCAGUAAUCCUCUUUUACUCUGUUGGGAUGAGUCUUUUUUUGUUUCUGUUCAGAGUGGUUACUAACUUCACCUUCUUUCCUCUUGCUGUCAUCUGCAUUCGUGCUUCCCACCUGUUGUUGGCAUGUCCUUUACCUUCUCUUUCCCUGCCACAUCAACCUACACACUGACUCAUCAUUGACGUGGAAGAUGUGGAAGAUGUCAAGUUUGUGAUCAACUAUGACUAUCCAAACAGCUCUGAGGAUUAUGUGCACCGUAUUGGCCGAACAGCCCGUAGCACCAACAAGGGUACCGCCUAUACCUUCUUCACCCCAGGGAACCUAAAACAGGCCAGAGAGCUUAUCAAAGUGCUGGAAGAGGCCAAUCAGGCUAUCAAUCCAAAACUGAUGCAGCUUGUGGACCACAGAGGAGGCGGCGGAGGCGGGGGUGGUCGUUCUCGUUACCGGACCACUUCUUCAGCCAACAAUCCCAAUCUGAUGUAUCAGGAUGAGUGUGACCGAAGGCUUCGAGGAGUCAAGGAUGGUGGCCGGAGAGACUCUGCAAGCUAUCGGGAUCGUAGUGAAACCGAUAGAGCUGGUUAUGCUAAUGGCAGUGGCUAUGGAAGUCCAAAUUCUGCCUUUGGAGCACAAGCAGGCCAAUACACCUAUGGUCAAGGCACCUAUGGGGCAGCUGCUUAUGGCACCAGUAGCUAUACAGCUCAAGAAUAUGGGGCUGGCACUUAUGGAGCUAGUAGCACCACCUCAACUGGGAGAAGUUCACAGAGCUCUAGCCAGCAGUUUAGUGGGAUAGGCCGGUCUGGGCAGCAGCCACAGCCACUGAUGUCACAACAGUUUGCACAGCCUCCAGGAGCUACCAAUAUGAUAGGUUACAUGGGGCAGACUGCCUACCAGUACCCUCCUCCUCCUCCCCCUCCUCCUCCUUCACGUAAAUGAAACCACUCAAGUGGUAGUGACUCCAGCAGACUUAAUUACAUUUUAAGGAACACUUGUCUUUCCCUUUUUUUUCUCUUCCCCUUUUCUUUUUUUUUCCUUUUUUCUUUUUUUUUUCCUUUUUUUCUUUUUUUAAAAAUUUCCUCCCCCAACCAUCGUGAUUUGUCUUUUCAUGCAGAUUAGUUAGAAUUCACUGCCAGGUUUCUUCUGCCCACCAAAACGAUCCAGUCUGUAAUAACAUUUUGUAAAAAAAAAAAAAAAUAUAUAUAUAUAUAUA